RNAcentral lists this ribosomal RNA (467 nucleotides) under uncultured bacterium. Its description in RNAcentral is "partial 16S ribosomal RNA". The stretch from base 20 to 329 matches the Rfam family "Bacterial small subunit ribosomal RNA", at positions 47 to 358 of the family's 1533-position model. The record is from RNAcentral.
GACGAACGCUGGCGGCGUGCUUAACACAUGCAAGUCGAACGGAAAGGCCCUGCUUUUGUGGGGUGCUCGAGUGGCGAACGGGUGAGUAACACGUGAGUAACCUGCCCUUGACUUUGGGAUAACUUCAGGAAACUGGGGCUAAUACCGGAUAGGAGCUCCUGCUGCAUGGUGGGGGUUGGAAAGUUUCGGCGGUUGGGGAUGGACUCGCGGCUUAUCAGCUUGUUGGUGGGGUAGUGGCUUACCAAGGCUUUGACGGGUAGCCGGCCUGAGAGGGUGACCGGCCCCAGUGGGCGAGGGGAAGGGCCAGGGGCCAAAGGGGGGGAAGGGGGGGGAAAUUGGGCACAAGGGGGGGAGGCUGUGAGGAAGAACCCCGGGGGGGGGAGGACGGCAUUGGGGUUGGAACCCGAUUUCGCGUGUGACGAGGGGUGGGGGCGGGAAAGGGGGAAAAAGGACCGGCUAAACUCGGU